UUGAAAUACCACCCUUUAAUGUUUGAUGUUCUAACGUGGACCCGUAAUCCGGGUUGCGGACAGUGUCUGGUGGGUAGUUUGACUGGGGCGGUCUCCUCCUAAAGAGUAACGGAGGAGCACGAAGGUUGGCUAAUCCUGGUCGGACAUCAGGAGGUUAGUGCAAUGGCAUAAGCCAGCUUGACUGCGAGCGUGACGGCGCGAGCAGGUGCGAAAGCAGGUCAUAGUGAUCCGGUGGUUCUGAAUGGAAGGGCCAUCGCUCAACGGAUAAAAGGUACUCCGGGGAUAACAGGCUGAUACCGCCCAAGAGUUCAUAUCGACGGCGGUGUUUGGCACCUCGAUGUCGGCUCAUCACAUCCUGGGGCUGAAGUAGGUCCCAAGGGUAUGGCUGUUCGCCAUUUAAAGUGGUACGCGAGCUGGGUUUAGAACGUCGUGAGACAGUUCGGUCCCUAUCUGCCGUGGGCGCUGGAGAACUGAGGGGGGCUGCUCCUAGUACGAGAGGACCGGAGUGGACGCAUCACUGGUGUUCGGGUUGUCAUGCCAAUGGCACUGCCCGGUAGCUAAAUGCGGAAGAGAUAAGUGCUGAAAGCAUCUAAGCACGAAACUUGCCCCGAGAUGAGUUCUCCCUGAGACUU
This 632-nucleotide ribosomal RNA is filed under the name Salmonella enterica subsp. enterica serovar Infantis. RNAcentral's name for it is "partial 23S ribosomal RNA". It matches the Rfam family "Bacterial large subunit ribosomal RNA", at positions 2192 to 2823 of the family's 2925-position model. Lineage: Bacteria; Pseudomonadati; Pseudomonadota; Gammaproteobacteria; Enterobacterales; Enterobacteriaceae. The record is from RNAcentral.